Molecule: ribosomal RNA, 442 nt
Filed under: Gnosonesima sp. I CEL-2014
Lineage: Eukaryota; Metazoa; Platyhelminthes; Gnosonesimidae
Description: partial 16S ribosomal RNA
Rfam family: Bacterial large subunit ribosomal RNA
Source: RNAcentral
UCUUAAUUUAUUCAUGUUAAGUAUCCUCUGCCCAGUGAGUCUUAAUUAACGGCUGCAGUACUCUAACUGUGCUAAGGUAGCAUAAUCAUUUGGCUUUUAAUUGAAGUCUUGGAUAAAAGAGGGAACGAUCUAUAACUAUUAUAACUGAAACUAGUGAACUUACUAUUUUAAUAAGAAGGUUCAUUUAACUUAGCAGGAAGAAAAGACCCUAAAGAGCUUAGUACUACUUAAACUACAACUGGGAUGGUUUAAAUUAUAUCUUGUGAUCGUUAGAAUUUUAAUGUGAGAAUUAUUGAGUGUCAGAAAGCUACCUUAGGGAUAACAGCACAAUCUUUCUAAAAAGACCUUAUUAACAGAAAUAGUUGUGACCUCGAUGUUGAAUUAAAACUCUUUUAGCUGUAGCAGGUUAAAAUGUGAGUCUGUUCGACUUAUUAGUUUUACA